RNAcentral lists this ribosomal RNA (468 nucleotides) under uncultured bacterium. RNAcentral's name for it is "partial 16S ribosomal RNA". It matches the Rfam family "Bacterial small subunit ribosomal RNA", at positions 28 to 507 of the family's 1533-position model. The record is from RNAcentral.
GACGAACGCUGGCGGCGUGCUUAACACAUGCAAGUCGAACGGAAAGGCCCUGCUUUUGUGGUGUGCUCGAGUGGCGAACGGGUGAGUAACACGUGAGUAACCUGCCCUUGACUUUGGGAUAACUUCAGGAAACUGGGGCUAAUACCGGAUAGGAGCUCCUGCUGCAUGGUGGGGGUUGGAAAGUUUCGGCGGUUGGGGAUGGACUCGCGGCUUAUCAGCUUGUUGGUGGGGUAGUGGCUUACCAAGGCUUUGACGGGUAGCCGGCCUGAGAGGGUGACCGGCCACAUUGGGACUGAGAGACGGACCAGACUCCUACGGGAGGCAGCAGUGGGGAAUAUUGCACAAUGGGCGGAAGCCUGAUGCAGCAACGCCGCGUGCGGGAUGACGGCCUUCGGGUUGUAAACCGCUUUCGCCUGUGACGAAGCGUGAGUGACGGUAAUGGGUAAAGAAGCACCGGCUAGCUACGUG